UCCGCUGUGGCCGAGUGGUUAAGGCGUUAGACUUGAAUCAACAUGAUAUAGGUAUCUAAUUCCCUAGGGAGCACAGGUUCGAACCCUGUCGGCGGAG
This 97-nucleotide transfer RNA is filed under the name Aureobasidium pullulans. RNAcentral describes it as "tRNA-Ser". It matches the Rfam family "tRNA". Rfam says of the family: Transfer RNA (tRNA) molecules are approximately 80 nucleotides in length. Lineage: Eukaryota; Fungi; Ascomycota; Dothideomycetes; Dothideales; Saccotheciaceae. RNAcentral also lists the same sequence under 1 other name. The record is from RNAcentral.